This 313-nucleotide unclassified non-coding RNA is filed under the name Hevea brasiliensis (rubber tree). Lineage: Eukaryota; Viridiplantae; Streptophyta; Magnoliopsida; Malpighiales; Euphorbiaceae. The record is from RNAcentral.
GGGGGUAAAGCUAAAUGAAUCCUCACAACCAUCAUAGGACACACAUAUAUGAACAAAAUACAAUUAAGAAAAUUUGAGCUAUAUCCCCAGCUAUAAUCAUAUUUUUUACCAUUAGUGACAUGCAGACCAUAAUCAUAUCACAAGAGUUAAAUAUUCUUCAUGUUCAGUACCAACAGAUCUCAUCUUAUAUUGUGAAUUUGACCAUCCAAUCUAAGAUUUAUGCCACAUUAUUCUAUACUGAGAUUCAAGCAUGCACAAAUAAAAGGAAUCCUUUAAAAUUUGAUGCUGAUUAUGAACAACUGGUACUUUAAUU